AGAGUAUGAUCCUGGCUCAUGAUGAACUUUGGCGGUGUGCCUAAUACAUGCUAGUCGUACGCACGUAGCCCAACUGAUUGAUGGUGCUUGCACCUGAUUGACUUUGGAUCCACCAGUGAGUGGGGGACGGGUGAGGUAACACGUAGGUAACCUGCCCCGGAGCGGGGGAUAACAUUUGGGAAACAGAUGCUAAUACCGCAUAACAACAAAAGCCACAUGGCUUUUGUUUGAAAGAUGGCUUUGGCUAUCACUCUGGGAUGGACCUGCGGUGCAUUAGCUAGUUGGUAAGGUAACGGCUUACCAAGGCGAUGAUGCAUAGCCGAGUUGAGAGACUGAUCGGCCACAAUGGAACUGAGACACGGUCCAUACUCCUACGGGAGGCAGCAGUAGGGAAUCUUCCACAAUGGGCGCAAGCCUGAUGGAGCAACACCGCGUGAGUGAAGAAGGGUUUCGGCUCGUAAAGCUCUGUUGUUGGAGAAGAACGUGCGUGAGAGUAACUGUUCACGCAGUGACGGUAUCCAACCAGAAAGUCACGGCUAACUACGUGCCAGCAGCCGCGGUAAUACGUAGGUGGCAAGCGUUAUCCGGAUUUAUUGGGCGUAAAGCGAGCGCAGGCGGUUGCUUAGGUCUUAUGUGAAAGCCUUCGGCUUAACCGAAGAAGUGCAUCGGAAACCGGGCGACUUGAGUGCAGAAGAGGACAGUGGAACUCCAUGUGUAGCGGUGGAAUGCGUAGAUAUAUGGAAGAACACCAGUGGCGAAGGCGGCUGUCUGGUCUGCAACUGACGCUGAGGCUCGAAAGCAUGGGUAGCGAACAGGAUUAGAUACCCUGGUAGUCCAUGCCGUAAACGAUGA
RNAcentral lists this ribosomal RNA (852 nucleotides) under uncultured bacterium. RNAcentral describes it as "bacterial SSU rRNA". It matches the Rfam family "Bacterial small subunit ribosomal RNA", at positions 8 to 812 of the family's 1533-position model. The record is from RNAcentral.